GGUCCGUUCUUCGGCAACUAGGUAGUCCCUUGAUCAAGCAUGCAUAUAGAGAGCAGAACAUGGUUGCGGAUAAAUUAUUAAAGCACUUUUUGGACUCAUCAACAACUGACAACAAACACAUACUCAGAGGCGCACUCUUUUAUUUUGGAUCUGCUUUAUGCUGAUACUAAUGGACCAGGUCUCUCUAGACGUAUAUCUCCAUCCACAAUUGGAG
This 214-nucleotide long non-coding RNA is filed under the name Nicotiana benthamiana. RNAcentral describes it as "long non-coding RNA (NBEN_LNC002827)". Lineage: Eukaryota; Viridiplantae; Streptophyta; Magnoliopsida; Solanales; Solanaceae. The record is from RNAcentral.